RNAcentral lists this small RNA (24 nucleotides) under Arabidopsis thaliana (thale cress). Lineage: Eukaryota; Viridiplantae; Streptophyta; Magnoliopsida; Brassicales; Brassicaceae. The record is from RNAcentral.
AGAAGAAUUAGCUGAUGUAGAAGG